Molecule: long non-coding RNA, 2666 nt
Organism: Papaver somniferum (opium poppy)
Lineage: Eukaryota; Viridiplantae; Streptophyta; Magnoliopsida; Ranunculales; Papaveraceae
Exons: 8
Source: RefSeq, a predicted model, not a curated record
AUUUUCUCUCUCUUCACUUAUCCUUCGCCAAAACCAGCUUUAUAUCUCUUUGUACUUCUCCGCAGCAGAAAAAUUUCCCUUCUUCGAACUCCACCCUUAAGUUUAUCGAUAUCCAAAUCUCGUCUAUACAUCUCUAUCUUCCAUUACCCUUUUUAAUUUUCUCUCGCAGCUUCUUUCACAUUCGAUCCAAAUCUCUAUCUUUCUCUCGAUUUUUUUCCUCAAUCAAAAUCAUUGAGGAUAGAGAUUUUUUUCAAUUGAAUCACGAAUAAACUAGGGUAUAGAUUCUUAUCAAUUGAUUCAUGAAGAAACUAGGGUAUCGAUUCUUCUCAAUUGAGUCAUGAAGAAAUUUAGGGUUAGGGUGAGAUUUAUUUUCCAACAAGAUUACUCGUUACAACUAUUUUUCUCUGAUUCAUAAGAAUAGUUUACUGUAAUACUCCGUUUAUUGUUGUUUUUGUUCUUCAAUUUAUGUUUUUAUUUUUUAUUUUUUUACGAUGAUUAUGAGUUUGAAUCUGAUUUUUGGUUUGCUAUUGAAGUCAGAUUUACUCCUAUGGGUACUGAGAUUAUUAUUUGAAUCUACCCGUACUCAAGAUUUGCUUCGAUAUGUAAUUUCUCUCUCAGGGUGUAUUUUGUUUUAAGAUUUUGAGGAUUUUUGUCAUUGGAUUUGAUGAUUUUCCGGGUUGUUGGUAUAGUUUGAGGCGCGGAUUGUUGUUUCGAAUCUGCAUAAGAAUACAAAGAAAUUGUUUAUGAGAUGAUUAAGGACAUGUACAAUCAUGUGACUGAUGGUUCUUGACUGAAGGCUCCUCUUAUUUCCAAUGAUUUUGAGAUAAUCAUGAAGUUAACCAUCCUUACCUAGUGAUCUACUCCCGAAGUGCAGCACAAAGGAAUACGAUUGAUGGAGGCAAAUAUUGUGGUCUUUUUCAUUACUCGGUGGAGGAUCCAUUUUGAAGAGGAUGAGAUAUACAAAGUAUGUAGUGAGAUUGGCAGGCCAUCUCAGAGGGAGGUGGACAGACAUGAGCAUGUUCUCCUAGCCAAAAAAUUCGGUGUCUUGAAGUUAAAUAUUGUUCUAGUAGUAUGAGGAUAGUACUGGAUAUCUAUGAUUGUGAAGGUUAAGAUUCUAAUUGACCCUUUAAACUAGUGUUGAAUUUAAAACUAACCCAAGCGAAUUUCAUGAUAACCAGGAAAUCUCUCAACUUGGUUGAGUACCUGCUACAAGAAAACAGUUCAGAUUGUAAUGUUGUAACGGAACUAGGAUUUCCUCGUACUAUGAGAAAUACCCCAUUCAAUGGAAAUAAUCCAGUUCAGGUGCAAUUAUGUUAGUUCGUAAUUACUUAUGAACCUUAGUAGCUAUUCGUUAUGUCAUAUGAUUGAUGUAACCAAGGAGAGAUGAAAUACAAAGAGACUAUAAUGAGAACUGCAAUCGAGUUCCUAUUACAUGACAGCUAACAUCAAGGAGAAUACAAGGUGGCAAUACUGGAAAUGCUUGUGCUGCUCACCUGGGUAUAAUCCACAACGAAAGAUCUCGUUUACUUGAAAGAUAAGCAUUCCUUAACGUUACUUAUACCCCCAUCUUAGUUUGAAUUACUAAGACCUUAAUCUGGUAUACUUCUUGUGAGCGAAACCAUACAAAGUUAUUUUUGAUCUGUGACAUAUAAAGUUCGAUACUAAUAAAUGAGCUCACUUAUAAUCUUCUUCUUCUUCCACUUGUAGCUCCCCUGAUCACAUAUGAUUAAUAGUUUAUAUUGUGCAAGUAUCUUCUUCUUACCCUUUAUCUGCCUUCGAUUUCUCUGAAGCUUUUGUUUUGUUGCAAUCUUCUCCUAUCGUAGUUAUGGUUGUGCGAUAAUUUUCCUGCUGUUUGUCUCAGUUCCCUGUUUUCGGUUCUGUCCUGUUUUAGAGUCCUACAGUAAAAGAAGGUUUUGUUCUUCAUCGUUAUUUGAUGUUUUAUCUCUGCAUCUAUGGUAUUAUUGAUUUCAUGUUGAAUAAGCACUAAGAUAAUCCGUCCCUUAAGCAGGUUGCAUUCAUCAGAAGUUCUGCAACUGGUUCUAAGGUGAUGGCCUCCGCAUCUCAAUUGGUUAAGUUAUGUUAUAGCUUUACCUUGGAAUUAUGUUAAGUUUUUUUAUAUUUUUUGAGCCUUCUCAUUUGGUAUGUGACUGUGUAGCAUCCUGUCUCUAUGGAACUUGGUGGUAAAAUUCCAAUUGUAGGUUUUUGAAGUUACAGAUCUUGAUAAAGCUGCCGAGAUGACUAUUUUUGGUUGCUUUUGGACAAAUGGCCAAAUCUAUAGUGCAACACCUCCCCUUCUACUGCAUGGCCUGCAGUGGUGUACUAAGAUUCGUCAUGGAAAGUGGUAACAAGGGUUGUUAGGUUCUCUUGAUAUCCUGGUUACUUUGGAGCUUACACCUUAGUGAGAGGCAUGAUAGUCUCAAAACAUUUUUUAUAUGUUUCUUUUGGUUUGGCAUCGGCUCUGCAGUUUUAACAUUUCAAUUCUUGCCUGUCACACAUUGUCGGAACAUCGUCUAUUGGUUUAUCAAUUAGCUUAGCAUGUUGUUGUUUGAACUUACUAGCUAGCUUGGAUAUAUAUUGUUUUGAACUCAAAAUUUCCUCCUUUUUUGUGUAAUUUUAAACCCAAUGGAUUAAAUGAAUGAAUGUUAAAAUUCUCAGUUUGAUUAUAA